AUGACUAAUUUGUGAGGAGAAGUUUUACCUACUUGUGAUGCUUUGUGAGUGUCUAUGAUGACAUUUAGAUUUGCUCACAAGUAUUAUAAAACAAGUUAAGCUGCAUAGCAUGUCAUCCAACUAUCAAUUGCAAGGAAAUGUUUCCUUAAUGGCAAAUGGUAAUUGGCAUGGCUAGACGCUAGCUCAUGCAACACUAUUGUAAAAAUGAACACCAGUUAGCCAUGUACAAAUGCAUUUGUUUUUCUUCGGCCCCACAACCAACCCCCCC
Molecule: unclassified non-coding RNA, 268 nt
Filed under: Hevea brasiliensis (rubber tree)
Lineage: Eukaryota; Viridiplantae; Streptophyta; Magnoliopsida; Malpighiales; Euphorbiaceae
Source: RNAcentral